Molecule: ribosomal RNA, 579 nt
Filed under: uncultured bacterium
Lineage: Bacteria
Description: bacterial SSU rRNA
Rfam family: Bacterial small subunit ribosomal RNA
Source: RNAcentral
UCAUGCAAGUCGAGCGGAGUUGAAAGAGAGCUUGCUCUCCUGAUGGUUAGCGGCGGACGGGUGAGUAACACGUAGGCAACCUGCCUGCAAGACCGGGAUAACCCACGGAAACGUGAGCUAAUACCGGAUAUCUCAUUUCCUCUCCUGAGGGGAUGAUGAAAGACGGAGCAAUCUGUCACUUGCGGAUGGGCCUGCGGCGCAUUAACUAGUUGGUGAGGUAACGGCUCACCAAGGCGACGAUGCGUAGCCGACCUGAGAGGGUGAACGGCCACACUGGGACUGAGACACGGCCCAGACUCCUACGGGAGGCAGCAGUAGGGAAUCUUCCGCAAUGGGCGAAAGCCUGACGGAGCAACGCCGCGUGAGUGAUGAAGGUUUUCGGAUCGUAAAGCUCUGUUGCCAGGGAAGAACGUCCGAUAGAGUAACUGCUAUCGGAGUGACGGUACCUGAAAAGAAAGCCCCGGCUAACUACGUGCCAGCAGCCGCGGUAAUACGUACGGGGCAAGCGUUGUCCGGAAUUAUUGGGCGUAAAGCGCGCGCAGGCGGUCAUUUAAGUCUGGUGUUUAAGGCCAAUGCUCA